Molecule: RNA transcript, 1842 nt
Organism: Zea mays
Lineage: Eukaryota; Viridiplantae; Streptophyta; Magnoliopsida; Poales; Poaceae
Exons: 6
Source: RefSeq, marked provisional
UUAUUUUCCGCUCUGUUCCUCAGCCGCAACGGCCGCCGCCCGCCGGUCGUCGUCGGCCACGUCGCGCGGUCUCCGGCAUCCCCAGCCCGCAGCCUCACAACCUGAUCGAUGCUCCCCUACCACCCAGUCAACCACACACACGCACACAUACACUUCUCAAAAAAAUCCCUCCCGCUCCCACCGCCGUCUCCUCCUCCCAAUCACAUUCCGUUUCCAUUCGCGCGGCCCGCGCCGCCGUCAUGGCCGCCGCCUCCCUCCUCGAGGCCACUCGCUUCCUCUCCACCCCGCACCCACGCUCGCGCUCGCGCCCGCUCCCUUUCCCGCCCGGCAGCGGCCUACACCCCCACCUCCUCAGGACCCCUCGCCUCUCCACUCUCCGCGUCCACCUCCACCGUCCCGCUCCUCUCGGCGCGCAGGAGCCGGCGAGGCCUGGCGCGCUCCUGGCCGUAGACGCGCUCAGGAGGUCCGUGCUCGACUCCCUCGCGGCGCUCAAGCGGCCCGCGCUCGCGCUCCUCCUGGCCGGUGUGCUGCUCGCCGCGGCAUCGGCGGGCGGGCCGCACGCGGCGGCGCUGGCCGCCUCGGGCGGGCGCGUCGGCGGGUCGGCCUUCUCCUCGCGCUCCUCCUCGCCUCGAUCCUACGGGUACAGCGCGCCGGCUCCCAGGGGCGGGUACACGGCCGCUCCCUUCUACUCUCCUUCGCCCUUCGUAUCCGUCGGCCCAGCCCUCGGCAUCGGCUUCGGGGGAUCGGGGUUCCUCGUGACCCUCAUGGGUUUCGCGGCUUUCCUCUACCUGGCCGGGUUCCUGUCCGACUCGUCCGGCGCUACCAGUGUGCUCACAGAGACGGAGAAGACCACCGUCCUCAAGCUACAGGUUGGCUUGCUGGGCAUGGCACGAUCAUUUCAGAAGGAGCUUGAUCAAAUAGCUGAGAAAGCAGAUACAUCUACCCCAGCUGGGUUGAGCUAUGUGUUGACAGAGACAACAUUGGCAUUACUUCGGCAUCCGGACUGUUGUAUCUCAGCUUACUCAUCGGUGGAUGUGAAACGAAGCAUUGAUAAUGGUGAGAAACGUUUCAAUCAGCUUUCAAUUGAGGAGAGGGGCAAGUUUGAUGAAGAGACACUUGUGAAUGUGAACAGCAUCAAGAGGAAUAAAGGAGGCAGCCAAAGAUCAAGUGGUUUUAGCAACGAGUACAUUGUGGUAUGUAGCAGAUGGCACCAGGCUUGUAAAAUUGUAACUUAUGUGCAUGCAAAUGCAAUGAAUAUAUUUUUGCUGAUAGAGUCUAGAUGCCGAUUGUGAUUCAAGAAUUAAUAGUCUUUAAAAACGCUGCUUUACAAACUCGUAUUCCAGAAGAGGGGGCAGGGGGUAUGAUUUCCGUCGUGUAUACUGUGUAGAUAACCAUAUUGGUUGCUGCUGAGGGAGUACAUAAGGUGCCGGUUAUAAAUAGCAGCAAUGACUUAAAGACAGCUCUACAAAAGAUGGGUGCCAUACCAUCGCGCAAAAUACUGGCAGUCGAGGUCCUAUGGACUCCACAAAAUGAGAAUGACACUUUGUCAGAGCGAGAGCUCCUUGAAGAUUACCCGCUCUUAAGGCCUCUGUAGAAAGAAGCUGCUGUAGAUUCAGUUUUGGCGGUUUUCUUAUUAACUAUAGCGCAGAUCUUGUGUUUGUAUAAAAGUGUAUAAUUUGUUAUUGACGUCACUGUUAGCCUUCAUAUCAGAACAUUUAGCGCAUCGCAGUACAAGUCUGCGAUUGUCUGCCGGUAGUCUUGGUCGCUGUUCCUGACACAAUAACACAAAAUUGUAAAUAGAUUGUUCUGAAAAGAACACGAGAGGCUGCAUCUGUGCGUGUA